Long non-coding RNA from Rattus rattus (black rat), 631 nucleotides. RefSeq lists it as uncharacterized. Lineage: Eukaryota; Metazoa; Chordata; Mammalia; Rodentia; Muridae. The record is from RefSeq and is a predicted model, not a curated record. The transcript has 2 exons.
UCUGCUGUUUUAUUUAGAAAUCAUGGCAAUUUGGCUCAGGAACCUCGAAGCCACAGCUCCAGUCAGUCAGCUCUGCUCGCAGCGUUCUCUGAACUGAGCCAGCAACUGCAGCACCAGCUUCUGUUCUCAUUAACCAACCGCGAUUGCAGUAGCCUGGGCCCACAGUCACCUGCCACACCCAAACCAGGGCCUUUCCCGGAAGCGUUUUAGAAGUGCCCACCCUGGACCCACCCAGGACCUCCAGAUCACCAGAGGGCAGGUGUGCAGUAAGGCUGCGUGAGAAGCCCUUGUUCUCUGUUUGCUUGGGUCUUGUGACUCCAUGAGAACAAGAUUCGGUGUUUUAAUAAACUAAGGAAUCAAGAAAAGGGAAAAGGAAGGGGAAUAUCGACCAAGAAGACAGCACCUGUGAAAGUGAAUGAUGAAAUCGCCGGCACUGAGCGGAGCGGAGGAACUGCUCGUUACACUACAACCACUUCCCGUCACUAACGGAACCCGAAAUGGCUGCUUUACAAGCCCACAGCAGCCGCCUCAGCAGGCAAGGUGAACCUGCUAUUGCUGUCACCCACCAAAAGCAAUUUCUAAAUAUAAACCUCAACAGCUAAAUAAUAAAUGUAUUCUGCUUUGUGUGUAA